CCCUUAGAUGUCCGGGGCCGCACGCGCGCUACAAUGGAUGAAUCAACGCGUCAUCCUGGCCCGAAAGGGUUGGGGAACCGCUGAACCUCAUCCGUGGUUGGGAUUGGGGUUUGUAAUUAUUCCCCAUGAACUAGGAAUUCCUAGUAAGCGCGAGUCAUCAGCUCGCGUUGACUACGUCCCUGCCCUUUGUACACACCGCCCGUCGCUCCUACCGAUUGAAUGGUCCGGUGAAGUGCUCGGAUCGUGGCGACGUGGGUGGUCUGCCGCUGACGACGCUGCGAGAAGUCCAUUGAACCUUAUCAUUUAGAGGAAGGAGAAGUCGUAACA
Molecule: ribosomal RNA, 327 nt
Filed under: uncultured eukaryote
Lineage: Eukaryota
Description: partial 18S ribosomal RNA
Rfam family: Eukaryotic small subunit ribosomal RNA
Source: RNAcentral